This 540-nucleotide ribosomal RNA is filed under the name Triticum aestivum (bread wheat). RNAcentral's name for it is "partial small subunit ribosomal RNA". The record is from RNAcentral. Lineage: Eukaryota; Viridiplantae; Streptophyta; Magnoliopsida; Poales; Poaceae.
AUGAAAACCUGCAUUGCAGAUGUUGAUGCAUGUGUGGCUGAUAUUGAUGAGGAUUUACUUGCUGAUGCGGCUCUUCCUGUGCCUGACCAUAUGCCUGAAGAGGAUCACUUUUGGUAUGAUAAGGAACAUCCUGUGAUAGAGGAAGGAUCUUUGUUUCGUUCAAUGAACGAGUUUAGGAUGCUCAUGAGAACAUUUGCUAUUAGAGGCAAGUUUGACAUCAAGACCAAGGAUAGUGACACUACUAGAUUUGUGGGUCACUGUAAAGGAAAUGCAUGUCCUUGGAGAAUAACUGCUAGGACAAUAGAAGAUGGAAAAACAGUCAGGGUAAACAAGAUAGUAAAGCCUCAUAAGUGUUCAUCAACCACUGCAGUGAUUACAAGCAUGGCAGACCAAGCAUGGGUGGCAGAAAAGGCAAUGGGGUAUCUUCAAACUGAACCAAACAUUGGUGCCAGCGAGCUCCGAAAAAAGCUAUAGGCCGAAUACAAAUGUACUAUUAGGUAUCAUACUGUUGACAAGGGAAAAGAAAGGUCCAAGAAUAGU